Molecule: non-coding RNA, 456 nt
Organism: Gopherus evgoodei (Goodes thornscrub tortoise)
Lineage: Eukaryota; Metazoa; Chordata; Testudines; Testudinidae
Source: the annotation of a RefSeq genome assembly
AUGGCGGUUCAUUGUCUUUCCCCAGUGGUUACAGAAAUGGGGGGAUCUCUGUGGCUGUGUGUCUGCGAGCUGCAGCUGUUCUCAGGUUUGGUGGCGGGGAACUUGCUAAUCCAGAUCCCGCCUUCCCUGCCAGCCGCGGAAGGGCAGCGGGUGGAGAUCAGGUGUCAAUACAGCACCUCCUACACCAGCUAUGCCCUGGACUGGUACCAGGAGCAGCUGGGGAAGUGGCCCCUGUUCCUGCACAGCAGAUACUCUGGUGGCUCGGAGCGCAAAUCCAGUUUGGUGGCACCUCGGUUCUCCUCACGGCUGGACACGGGAGCAAAGACUUUCAAGCUAACCAUAGAGGGGGCGCAGCGGGCUGACUCGGCGGUGUAUUUCUGUGCUCUCUGGGAUCCACCGUGCUACAGAGCGCACCGGGCUCCGGACACAAACUGCCGCGGGGGCGCAGGUGUCUGA